Long non-coding RNA from Pieris napi, 900 nucleotides. RefSeq lists it as uncharacterized. NCBI's taxonomy places the organism in Eukaryota, Metazoa, Arthropoda, Insecta, Lepidoptera, Pieridae. The transcript is spliced from 3 exons. The record is from RefSeq and is a predicted model, not a curated record.
ACAACAUCUGUGGUGAGAAAACGUUGAAGAGAUUUCUGCCGUGGCUAGUAAAUGAACUGCCCGGUUAAAUGAAUAUUUUCAUAUACAUAUAUCGCGUUCCUAACAAGACUGUAAUAUUGUAUGAUUUGUGUAUUAUAUAUACUGUUGAAUAGAUAUAUGUUAAAAAAUAUAAUUAUUUGUAGAAACAUGUCUCUGUUAGAAGCCUUAUUGGAGCAUCAGGGAUCGAAAAUCCCCUUUCCACCCAGAGAAGUGGUUUUCACGGAACUUUGGCUGAAUAUUGGGUGCUGAACCCUUUUGAAACUUCGAGAAACGGACAAUCGAUGUCCUUCGUUAAUUGGACGAGAAACGCGAGGAGCACAGCAGGCCGGGAGAUCUUGAAAUGUCUCCAAAACUGUUAUUCACAGUUCUUGCUAAUAUUAUGUAUAUUCAAAAAAACUUAACUGGAAUAAAAAGGGAAUACAAAUGUAUGAUGUCUACAUGAGUCAUUGAGCUUUUGCUGAUGUUGUCCUUUUAAUCGCCGAAGCAGCUAACGAUCUACAAGUAAUGAUAAAAUCUCUCUACCAAGAAAGUAUACAAGUCCGUCUCAACCUGAAUAUAAAAAAAAAAUACGACGGAGAGACGCACUACGAGACAUAGAAAAGCUCUCACAAGAACCCCAGUAAAUAUCUUACUUCUUAGUUUUAAGAAGUAAAAGCAAUACGUUAAUUAUUCUUUACUCUCUCGUAUAGGAUUUAAACACAAACAGACAAUACAUGCUACAGUUACACUUGUAUAAAUAUAGUAGGUACAUAAAAGUACCUGCAAGUGACAAAGUUAUUAACAGAAGAAGCUUUCUCACAAAUUAUUGCAGAGAAUUUAUGAAAAUUUUGUUAACAUAUAAAAGAAAAAUGAAGUUUAAUC